GCAGAGGAAGAAGGUGAGGAAGAGGAGGUGUGAUGUAUGGCUCCACCUCUGAUACCAGAUUUCAGUCGGCCUUUAUGCUGUCAUUGCAAAUUUAAGAUGAAAACAAUUGUGAAUUUAUUUGUCACUGUUGCACAGACCUUGAUUUAAGUUUCCAGGAUGCCUCCAGCUUUAUACACAUUUGGAUUUUUACUGCUUGUGCUCACACGAAAAGUGGAGAGUGUAACCUUUGAACAGUCCUCUUCUCAAGUAGUGAAGGAAGGGACUGAGGAGCUCAGGAUCGACUGCAGCCAUGAUGACAGCAGCCUUAAUAGGAUGCUGUGGUACCAGCACCAACAGAGCGGUCGGUCUAUGAGCCUCAUUGGGUACACGGUCCUCCAGGGUACACCGGACUACGAGGAGCAGUUUAAAAGCAUCAGGUUCCAGAUUAAAGGAGGCACAAAGAGAGGAUCUCUGAUCAUUCACAAAGUGAAUUCAUCAAACUCAGCUGUGUAUUUCUGCGCUGCUAGUACACAGUGAUGUGGUUUAAUACAACUGCUUCACUAAAACCUCCUACCACUUACAACAGCUGCUGCUCAGAGGUUUACUCAUCUGAGAACUGAGAAUAUGAUGCUGUUUAAUGGCGUA
Non-coding RNA from Sebastes umbrosus (honeycomb rockfish), 624 nucleotides. Lineage: Eukaryota; Metazoa; Chordata; Actinopteri; Perciformes; Sebastidae. The record is from the annotation of a RefSeq genome assembly.